This 377-nucleotide unclassified non-coding RNA is filed under the name uncultured Colwelliaceae bacterium. RNAcentral describes it as "partial 16S-23S ribosomal RNA intergenic spacer". The stretch from base 94 to 167 matches the Rfam family "tRNA". The record is from RNAcentral. Lineage: Bacteria; Pseudomonadati; Pseudomonadota; Gammaproteobacteria; Alteromonadales; Colwelliaceae.
CCUCCUUAUCUUGAAGUAAAAUUGCUUAAUGGAAGUCUUCGGAUUUCACGAGUGUUCACACAAAUUGUAUGAUAAUGAAUUAGAAGAAACGAUAGGUCUGUAGCUCAGCUGGUUAGAGCGCACCCCUGAUAAGGGUGAGGUCGGCAGUUCAAGUCUGCCCAGACCUACCAAUUUAUUGCUAAAAUCAAUUGGUGGAUUCUUCUAAAAUAAAGAAAGAGACCAAACUUAAAACAUCAUAUGAUGAUGAGUUAAGUUUGGUUUUUACUCUCACUAGAGAGAUUAAUCACUUUUUUAACCGAAUGCGUGUUAAGAAUGAGUUCUUUAACAAUCUGGAAAGCUGAUAUAAAUAUCGGUAUUUAUAUAACAAACACGGUGUC